ACACGCACACACACACACACACGCACACAUACACACACUCCCCUUCCCUUCCCUCCCCACCCCACCCCCGCAAACGGCCUCUCGCUAAAUGUAUUCUCUGUGUAUUCAUGAAACAGACUGAGGAAUGGUACAGAUCAGAUGAGGAUGACAGCCAUAUUUUUGUUGCUUUGAUAAUUGAUAAGCUCUCUUGGUUCGCAGCUCCACAUUCCCAGCCAUGGACUAAAAGCUCUAAAGUUGUCACUGUAUGUUCCACAUUUUAGCUGCUGUGUCUGUUGGGGAUGUUAGGGAUGUUAGGGCUGUUAGGGCUGUGGUGGGCUGUUGUGGGCUGUUAGAGCUGUUAGAGCUGUGGUGAGCUGUAAGAGCUGUUAGGGCUGUGGUGAGCUGUUAGGGUUGUUAGAGCAUUUGAGGCUGUGGUGAGCUGUUGCAGCUGUUGGGACUGUGAUGAGCUGUUAGGGCUGUGGUGAGCAGAUAGGGCUGUUAGGGCUGUGGUGAGCUGUUAGGGUUGUUAGAGCGGUUGGGGCUGUGGUGAGCUGUUAGAGGGGUUAGGGCUGAGGUGAGGUGUUAGAGCUGUUAGGGCUGAGGUGAGGUGUUAGAGCUGUUAGGGCUGUGGUGAGCAGUUAGAGCUGUUGGUGCUGUUGGGGCUGUGGUGAGCUGUUAGGACUGUUGCAGCUUUGGUGAGCUGCAGGGCUGCGGUGAGCUGCUAGGGCUGUUAGGGUUGUUAGGGCGGUUAGGGCUGUGGUGAACAGUUAGGAUUGUUAGAGCUGUUGUGGCUGUGGGGAGCUGUUAGAGCUGUUUGGUCUUGUGUGAGCUGUUAGGUUUGUUAGGGCUGUGGAGAGCUGUUUGGGCUGUUGGGGAUGUGGUGAGCUGUUAGAACUGUUGGGGCUGUGGUGAGCUGUUAGGGCUGUGGUGAGCUGUUAGGGCUGUUGGGGAUGUGGUGAGCUGUUAGGGCUGUGGUGAGCUGUUAGAACAGUUAGAGGAUUUGGGACUGUGGUGAGCUGUUAGAACUGUUAGAGCUGUUAGAGGAUUUGGAACUGUGGUGAGCUGUUAGAACUGUUAGAGCUGUCAGGUGUGCUGAGCUGUUAUAGCUGUUGGGGCUGUGGUGAGCUGUUAGAGCUGUUGGGGCUGUGGUGAGCUGUUAGAGCUGUUGGGGCUGUGGUGAGUUUUUAUAGCUGUUGGGGCUGUGGUGAGUUUUUAUAGCUGUUGGGGCUGUGGUGAGCUGUUAGAGCUGUUAUGGCUUUUAGAACUGUUAGGGAUGUGGUGAGCUGUUAGAGCUGUUACUGCUGUAGUGAGCUAUUAGAGCUGUGGUGAGCUGUUAGAGCUGUUAGAGCUACUAGGGCUGUGGUGAGCUGUUAGAGCGGUUGAUGCUGUUGGGGCUGUUGUGAGCUGAUAGAGCUGUGGUGAGCUGUUAGAGCUGUUGGGACUGUUGGCGCUGUGGUGAGCUGUUAGGACUGUUGCAGCUGUGGUGAGCUGCAGGGCUGUGGUGAGCUGCUAGGGCUGUUAGGGUUGUUAGGGCUGUUAGGGCUGUGGUGAACAGUUAGGAUUGUUAGAGCUGUUGCGGCUGUGGGGAGCUGUUAGAGCUGUUUGGUCUUGUGUGAGCUGUUAGAGCUGUUGGGGCUGUGGUGAGCUGUUAGAGCUGUUGGGGCUGUGGUGAGUUUUUAUAGCUGUUGGGGCUGUGGUGAGCUGUUAGAGCUGUUGGGGCUGUGGAGAGCUGUUCGAGCUUUUAGGGCUGUGAUGAGCUGUUAGAGCUGUUAUGACUUUUAGAACUGUUAGGGAUGUGGUGAGCUGUUAGAGCUGUUACUGCUGUAGUGAGCUAUUAGAGCUGUGGUGAGCUGUUAGAGCUGUUAGAGCUACUAGGGCUGUGGUGAGCUGUUAGAGCUGUGAGGGCUAUGGUGAGAUUUUUGGGCAGUUACAGCUGUUUGGGCUGUGGUGAGCCGUUAGAGCUACUAUGGCUGUGGUGAGCUGUUAGAGCUGGUAGGGCUGUUUGAGCUACUAGGGCUGUGGUGAGCUGUUAGGGCUGUUAGAGCUACUAGAGCUGUGGUGAGCUGUUAGGGAUGUGGUGAGCUUUUAGAGCUGUUGGGGCUGUGGUGAGCUGUUAGAGCUGUUAGAGCUGAUAGGGCUGUGGUGAGCUGUUAAAACUGUUAGGGGUGUGGUGAGCUUUUAGAGCUGUUGGGCUGUGUUGAGCUGUCAGAGCUGUUAGGGCUGUAGUGAGCUGUUAGAGCUGUUAGGGCUGUGGUGAGCUGUUAUAGCUGUUGGGGCUGUGGUGAGCUGUCAGGGCUGUGUUGAGCUGCAUGGGCUGUUGGAGCUGUUGGGUUAGUGGUGAGCUGUUAGAGCUGCUAGGGUUGUGGUGAACUUUUAGGGCUGUUUGGGCUGUGGUGAGUUGUUAGGGCUUUUGGGGCUGUGGUGAACUUUUAGGGCUGUUUGGGCUGUGGUGAGCUGUUAGAGCUGUGGUGAGCUGUUAGGGCUGUUAGAGCUACUAGGGCUGUGGUGAGCUGUUAGAGCUGUUAGAGCUGUUAGAGCUACUAGGGCUGUGAUGAGCUGUUAGAGCUGUUAGGGCUGUGGUGAGAUUUUGGGGCAGUUACAGCUGUUUGGGCUGUGGUGAGCUGUUAGAGCUGUUAGAGCUACUAGAGCUAUGGUGAGUUGUUAGAGCUGUUAGAGCUGUUAGAGUUGUUAGAGCUGCUAGGGCUGUGGUGAGCUGUUCGAGCUGUUAGGGCUGUUAGAGCUACUUGGGAUUUGGUGAGCUGUUAGAGCUGUUAGGGCUGUUAGAGCUGCUAGGGCUGUGGUGAGCUGUUAGAGCUGUUAGAGCUACUAGAGCUGAUAGAGCUACUAGAGCUGUGGUGAGCUGAUAGAACUGGUAGGGCUGUUAGAGCUACUAUGGCUGUGGUGAGCUGUUAGAGCUGUUAGGGCUGUUUGAGCUACUAGAGCUGUGGUGAGCUGUUAGGGCUGUUAGAGCUACUAUGGCUGUGGUGAGCUGUUAGAGCUGUUAGGGCUGUUUGAGCUACUAGAGCUGUGGUGAGCUGUUAGGGCUGUUAGAGCUACUAUGGCUGUGGUGAGCUGUUAGAGCUGUUAGGGCUGUUAGAGCUACUAGGGCUGUGGUGAGCUGUUAGAGCUGUUAGGGCUGUUAGAGCUACUAGGGCUGUUGUGAGCUGUUAAAGCUGUUAGGGCUGUUAGAGCUACUAGAGCUGUGGUGAGCUGUUAGAGCUGUUAGGGCUGUUAGAGCUACUAGAGCUGUGGUGAGCUGUUAGGGCUGUUAGAGCUACUAGAGCUGUUGUGAGCUGUUAAAGCUGUUAGGGCUGUUAGAGCUACUAGAGCUGUGGUGAGCUGUUAGAGCUGUUAGGGCUGUUAGAGCUACUUGAGCUGUGGUGAGCUGUUAUGGUUGUUAGAGAUUGGGGAUGUGGUGAGCUGUUACAGCUGUUUGGGCUGUGGAGAGCUGUUAGAGCUGUGGUGAGCUGUUAGGGCUGUUAGAGCUACUAGAGCUGGGGUGAGCUGUUAGAGCUGUGGUGAGCUGUUAGGACUGUUAGGGCUGUUAAAGCUACUAGAGCUGUGGUGAGCUGUUAAAGCUGUGGUGAGCCGUUAGAGCUACUAUGGCUGUGGUGAGCUGUUAGAGCUGGUAGGGCUGUUUGAGCUACUAGGGCUGUGGUGAGCUGUUAGGGCUGUUAGAGCUACUAGAGCUGUGGUGAGCUGUUAGGGAUGUGGUGAGCUUUUAGAGCUGUUGGGGCUGUGGUGAGCUGUUAGAGCUGUUAGAGCUGAUAGGGCUGUGGUGAGCUGUUAAAACUGUUAGGGGUGUGGUGAGCUUUUAGAGCUGUUGGGCUGUGGUGAGCUGUCAGAUAUGUUAGGGCUGUGGUGAGCUUUUAGAGCUGUUGGGGCUGUGGUGAGCUGUCAGAGCUGUUAGGGCUGUGAUGAGCUGUUUGAGCUGUUAGGGCUGUGGUGAGCUUUUAGAGCUGUUGGGGCUGUGGUGAGCUGUCAGAGCUGUUAGGGCUGUAGUGAGCUGUUAGAGCUGUUAGGGCUGUGGUGAGCUGUUAUAGCUGUUGGGGCUGUGGUGAGCUGUCAGGGCUGUGUUGAGCUGCAUGGGCUGUUGGAGCUGUUGGGUUAGUGGUGAGCUGUUAGAGCUGCUAGGGUUGUGGUGAACUUUUAGGGCUGUUUGGGCUGUGGUGAGCUGUUAGCGCUGUUGUGGCUAAUGAUCCUGUGGUGAGCUGUUAGGGCUGUUAGAACUGUUAGGGCUGUGGUGAGCUGUUAGGGCUGUUAGAACUGUUAGAGCU
RNAcentral lists this long non-coding RNA (4256 nucleotides) under Salmo salar (Atlantic salmon). RNAcentral describes it as "lncRNA (ENSSSAG00000095393.1)". The record is from RNAcentral. Lineage: Eukaryota; Metazoa; Chordata; Actinopteri; Salmoniformes; Salmonidae.